UCUCCGUAGGUGAACCUGCGGAGGGAUCAUUACAGAGUUCAUGCCCUAUCGGGUAGAUCUCCCACCCUAUGUUAUUAUUACUUUGUUGCUUUGCCCGGCCGUUAGGCUCCGGCCCGACUACCGGCCCCGGCUGGUAAGCGCCCGCCAGAGGACCCAAAACCCUGAAUAAUAGUGUCGUCUGAGUACUAUAUAAUAGUUAAAACUUUCAACAACGGAUCUCUUGGUUCUG
Molecule: unclassified non-coding RNA, 229 nt
Filed under: plant metagenome
Description: partial contains small subunit ribosomal RNA, internal transcribed spacer 1, and 5.8S ribosomal RNA
Source: RNAcentral